UACGGAGGGUGCAAGCGUUAUCCGGAUUUACUGGGUUUAAAGGGUGCGUAGGUGGGCAGGUAAGUCAGUGGUGAAAUCCCCGGGCUUAACCCGGGAACUGCCAUUGAUACUAUCUGUCUUGAAUAUCCUGGAGGUGAGCGGAAUAUGUCAUGUAGCGGUGAAAUGCUUAGAUAUGACAUAGAACACCCAUUGCGAAGGCAGCUCACUACGGGAUUAUUGACACUGAGGCACGAAAGCGUGGGGAUCAAACAGG
This 253-nucleotide ribosomal RNA is filed under the name uncultured bacterium. RNAcentral's name for it is "partial 16S ribosomal RNA". It matches the Rfam family "Bacterial small subunit ribosomal RNA", at positions 524 to 776 of the family's 1533-position model. The record is from RNAcentral.